This 427-nucleotide ribosomal RNA is filed under the name Lactiplantibacillus plantarum. Its description in RNAcentral is "bacterial SSU rRNA". It matches the Rfam family "Bacterial small subunit ribosomal RNA", at positions 378 to 797 of the family's 1533-position model. Lineage: Bacteria; Bacillati; Bacillota; Bacilli; Lactobacillales; Lactobacillaceae. The record is from RNAcentral.
AAAGUCUGAUGGAGCAACGCCGCGUGAGUGAAGAAGGGUUUCGGCUCGUAAAACUCUGUUGUUAAAGAAGAACAUAUCUGAGAGUAACUGUUCAGGUAUUGACGGUAUUUAACCAGAAAGCCACGGCUAACUACGUGCCAGCAGCCGCGGUAAUACGUAGGUGGCAAGCGUUGUCCGGAUUUAUUGGGCGUAAAGCGAGCGCAGGCGGUUUUUUAAGUCUGAUGUGAAAGCCUUCGGCUCAACCGAAGAAGUGCAUCGGAAACUGGGAAACUUGAGUGCAGAAGAGGACAGUGGAACUCCAUGUGUAGCGGUGAAAUGCGUAAAUAUAUGGAAGAACACCAGUGGCGAAGGCGGCUGUCUGGUCUGUAACUGACGCUGAGGCUCUAAAGUAUGGGUAGCAAACAGGAUUAGAUACCCCAGUAGUCAA